This 20-nucleotide transfer RNA is filed under the name Gossypium barbadense (sea-island cotton). RNAcentral describes it as "partial tRNA-Thr". RNAcentral also lists the same sequence under 20 other names. The record is from RNAcentral. Lineage: Eukaryota; Viridiplantae; Streptophyta; Magnoliopsida; Malvales; Malvaceae.
GCCCGCUUAGCUCAGAGGUU